GAUAAACGCUGGCGGCGUGCCUAAUACAUGCAAGUCGAGCGAACGGACGAGAAGCUUGCUUCUCUGAUGUUAGCGGCGGACGGGUGAGUAACACGUGGAUAACCUACCUAUAAGACUGGGAUAACUUCGGGAAACCGGAGCUAAUACCGGAUAAUAUUUUGAACCGCAUGGUUCAAAAGUGAAAGACGGUCUUGCUGUCACUUAUAGAUGGAUCCGCGCUGCAUUAGCUAGUUGGUAAGGUAACGGCUUACCAAGGCAACGAUGCAUAGCCGACCUGAGAGGGUGAUCGGCCACACUGGAACUGAGACACGGUCCAGACUCCUACGGGAGGCAGCAGUAGGGAAUCUUCCGCAAUGGGCGAAAGCCUGACGGAGCAACGCCGCGUGAGUGAUGAAGGUCUUCGGAUCGUAGAACUCUGUUAUUAGGGAAGAACAUAUGUGUAAGUAACUGUGCACAUCUUGACGGUACCUAAUCAGAAAGCCACGGCUAACUACGUGCCAGCAGCCGCGGUAAUACGUAGGUGGCAAGCGUUAUCCGGAAUUAUUUGGGCGUAAGCGCGCGUAGGCGGUUUUUUAAGUCUGAUGUGAAAGCCCACGGCUCAACCGUGGAGGGUCAUUGGAAACUGGAAAACUUGAGUGCAGAAGAGGAAAGUGGAAUUCCAUGUGUAGCGGUGAAAUGCGCAGAGAUAUGGAGGAACACCAGUGGCGAAGGCGACUUUCUGGUCUGUAACUGACGCUGAUGUGCGAAAGCGUGGGGAUCAAACAGGAUUAGAUACCCUGGUAGUCCACGCCGUAAACGAUGAGUGCUAAGUGUUAGGGGGUUUCCGCCCCUUAGUGCUGCAGCUAACGCAUUAAGCACUCCGCCUGGGGAGUACGACCGCAAGGUUGAAACUCAAAGGAAUUGACGGGGACCCGCACAAGCGGUGGAGCAUGUGGUUUAAUUCGAAGCAACGCGAAGAACCUUACCAAAUCUUGACAUCCUUUGACAACUCUAGAGAUAGAGCCUUCCCCUUCGGGGGACAAAGUGACAGGUGGUGCAUGGUUGUCGUCAGCUCGUGUCGUGAGAUGUUGGGUUAAGUCCCGCAACGAGCGCAACCCUUAAGCUUAGUUGCCAUCAUUAAGUUGGGCACUCUAAGUUGACUGCCGGUGACAAACCGGAGGAAGGUGGGGAUGACGUCAAAUCAUCAUGCCCCUUAUGAUUUGGGCUACACACGUGCUACAAUGGACAAUACAAAGGGCAGCGAAACCGCGAGGUCAAGCAAAUCCCAUAAAGUUGUUCUCAGUUCGGAUUGUAGUCUGCAACUCGACUACAUGAAGCUGGAAUCGCUAGUAAUCGUAGAUCAGCAUGCUACGGUGAAUACGUUCCCGGGUCU
This 1372-nucleotide ribosomal RNA is filed under the name uncultured bacterium. Its description in RNAcentral is "bacterial SSU rRNA". It matches the Rfam family "Bacterial small subunit ribosomal RNA", at positions 28 to 1381 of the family's 1533-position model. The record is from RNAcentral.